GAUGGACGCUGACAGAAUGCUUAACACAUGCAAGUCAACUUGAAUUUGGGUUUUUACCUUAGGUUUGGGUGGCGGACGGGUGAGUAACGCGUAAAGAACUUGCCUCACAGCUAGGGACAACAUUUGGAAACGAAUGCUAAUACCUAAUAUUAUGAUAAUAGGGCAUCCUAUAAUUAUGAAAGCUAUAAGCGCUGUGAGAGAGCUUUGCGUCCCAUUAGCUAGUUGGAGAGGUAACGGCUCACCAAGGCGAUGAUGGGUAGCCGGCCUGAGAGGGUGAUCGGCCACAAGGGGACUGAGACACGGCCCUUACUCCUACGGGAGGCAGCAGUGGGGAAUAUUGGACAAUGGACCGAGAGUCUGAUCCAGCAAUUCUGUGUGCACGAUGAAGUUUUUCGGAAUGUAAAGUGCUUUCAGUUGGGAAGAAACAAAUGACGGUACCAACAGAAGAAGUGACGGCUAAAUACGUG
This 467-nucleotide ribosomal RNA is filed under the name uncultured bacterium. RNAcentral describes it as "partial 16S ribosomal RNA". It matches the Rfam family "Bacterial small subunit ribosomal RNA", at positions 28 to 507 of the family's 1533-position model. The record is from RNAcentral.